CAUCAACACGGGCACCUACAAUCCA
This 25-nucleotide unclassified non-coding RNA is filed under the name Mus musculus (house mouse). Its description in RNAcentral is "oocyte_clustered_small_RNA9269". The record is from RNAcentral. Lineage: Eukaryota; Metazoa; Chordata; Mammalia; Rodentia; Muridae.